GCCUUUGGCGCGUUAGUUGGUAGCGCGUCUGCCUUGUAAGCGCUAGGCCGCGGGUUCGAUUCCCGCCCAGGGCG
Molecule: transfer RNA, 74 nt
Filed under: Diaphorina citri (Asian citrus psyllid)
Lineage: Eukaryota; Metazoa; Arthropoda; Insecta; Hemiptera; Psyllidae
Rfam family: tRNA
About the family: Transfer RNA (tRNA) molecules are approximately 80 nucleotides in length. Their secondary structure includes four short double-helical elements and three loops (D, anti-codon, and T loops). Further hydrogen bonds mediate the characteristic L-shaped molecular structure. tRNAs have two regions of fundamental functional importance: the anti-codon, which is responsible for specific mRNA codon recognition, and the 3' end, to which the tRNAs corresponding amino acid is attached (by aminoacyl-tRNA synthetases). tRNAs cope with the degeneracy of the genetic code in two manners: having more than one tRNA (with a specific anti-codon) for a particular amino acid; and 'wobble' base-pairing, i.e. permitting non-standard base-pairing at the 3rd anti-codon position.
Source: Rfam by way of RNAcentral